UCCUACGGGAGGCAGCAGUGGGGAAUAUUGCACAAUGGGCGCAAGCCUGAUCCAGCCAUGCCGCGUGUAUGAAGAAGGCCUUCGGGUUGUAAAGUACUUUCAGCGGGGAGGAAGGCGAUGCGGUUAAUAACCGCGUCGAUUGACGUUACCCGCAGAAGAAGCACCGGCUAACUCCGUGCCAGCAGCCGCGGUAAUA
RNAcentral lists this ribosomal RNA (196 nucleotides) under uncultured Enterobacter sp. RNAcentral describes it as "partial 16S ribosomal RNA". It matches the Rfam family "Bacterial small subunit ribosomal RNA", at positions 337 to 525 of the family's 1533-position model. The record is from RNAcentral. Lineage: Bacteria; Pseudomonadati; Pseudomonadota; Gammaproteobacteria; Enterobacterales; Enterobacteriaceae.